This 254-nucleotide ribosomal RNA is filed under the name uncultured bacterium. RNAcentral's name for it is "partial 16S ribosomal RNA". It matches the Rfam family "Bacterial small subunit ribosomal RNA", at positions 524 to 776 of the family's 1533-position model. The record is from RNAcentral.
UACGUAGGGUCCGAGCGUUGUCCGGAUUUAUUGGGCGUAAAGAGCUCGUAGGCGGUUCCGUAAGUCAGAUGUGAAAACUCAGGGCUCAACCCGGAGACGCCAUCUGAUACUGCGGUGACUGGAGUCUGGUAGGGGAACACGGAAUUCCUGGUGUAGCGGUGAAAUGCGCAGAUAUCAGGAGGAACACCGAUGGCGAAGGCGGGUCUCUGGGCCGAUACUGACGCUGAGGAGCGAAAGCGUGGGGAGCGAACAGG